ACAUAUGUCUUGACUAAUUACGUGCCAGCAGUCGCGGCAAUACGUAAGAGACUAGUGUUAUUCAUCAUAAAUAGGUUUAAAGGGUACUUAGACGGGAAAAUUUGCCUUGAUUGGUACGAUUUUUCUAGAGUUUUAUGUGAAAAGGUAGUACUCAUGUGUGAAGAGAUAAAAUUUGUUGAUACCUAGGAGGACUGGUAAAGGCGAAGGCAACCUUUUAUGUAAAAACUGACGUUAAAGGACGAAGGCACAGGGCACGAACAGGAUUAGAUACCCUAAUAGUCUUUGCAGAGAAUUAUGAAUGCCAUAGGUUAGAUAGAGGUCAGGUACCUAAACGAUUAAAAUAUGGAGGCUUUUUUUGGAAAAUAAAAAAGAUACAUUUUUAUAGGUAACCGAGAUUUGUCUGUAAUUCUUCUAAACAUGGAAUUAUAAAGAUAGAUUUCUUUAGAGAUCUCGAACAUUUAGUCUAUAAACGAAAGUGUAAGCAUUUCACCUCAAGAGUAAUGUGGCAACACAGGAACUGAAAUCACUAGACCGUUUCUGACACCAGCAGUGAAGUAUGUUAUUUAAUUCGAUGAUCCACGAAAAACCUUACCACAAUUUGAAUAUUAAUAAUAAUAACAUUAUUAAUACAAGCGUUGCACGGCUGUCUUCAGUUAAUGUUGUGAAACUGUGGUUCGGUCCAUAAAAUUAACGAAAACCCUAGCUUUAUUUAUAAAAAUACAAAUUAAUUAUAAAGCAGUUCACCUUUAUAUUGUAUAUGA
RNAcentral lists this ribosomal RNA (761 nucleotides) under Coniochaetales sp. A890. RNAcentral describes it as "SSU rRNA". It matches the Rfam family "Bacterial small subunit ribosomal RNA", at positions 484 to 1166 of the family's 1533-position model. Lineage: Eukaryota; Fungi; Ascomycota; Sordariomycetes; Coniochaetales. The record is from RNAcentral.